UCAUCUACACCGUUUAGGAUUAGAGCCUGAUUUUUAUCUCAUUCCAGGAGGGUCAUGAAUAAGGAAAGGCUGAAAUACUGGCAGAGCCCCUUGGUCAUACUUGCCAGGAGCAGACUCUCCAGAGAUCCCCUAACCUCCUUCACCAGCAAGGUCAAGAACAUCCUGAUGACUAAAACUUCAUGUAGCGGUCUGUUGAGAGCAGCUCUGCGCUCCACGUUUGUAGGAGGUGUCAGGACAUCAUGAAAAGUGCUUUCAAGGGAGCUUGAAAGCUGCAUGCUCCGAGGCUGGUGCAGCGAAUACCGAUACUUUGAAGUUUUGAAGAUGACUGACAUUUUGAAAGUUUGGAGUUUCAUCUUUUUUUAAUAACAUUUGAAUCAUUAUAUUUGUCAUAGGCAGGAACUUUUGAUCUUAGUGUCACAUGCUGGAUUGGUUUCCAUGGGAGAUGUCAUUAAAGGAAAGCUCCACAACCCUUUAGCUGUUGUCUGUCUCUACUGCCCGUGGACUCGUGUACAUAUUUAUACAGCUAGUCUGAUGGCAAGUUGUGAUCAGGGCUCCUGAUUAGCUAAGAGUUGCAUGCACGCCUCUUGUUAUGUAUGUUAUCCCACCUUCCCCUCUCCUGCCUUGACUGGCCUGCUUGCCUCUUUCAUGUUUUAUUUGGUCUUUAAACUGGAAUCAAUUUGGGGCAGAGACUGUUGUUUCCGAGGUUUAUACAGUACUUGGCUCAUUGAAGCCCAGCCUGCUCUGCCUUGAGGCACUACAGCAAUAUUUAAUCGCAUGCCAGAGUCUUUUGUUUAGUAGUUAUUCU
Alligator sinensis (Chinese alligator) is the source of this 805-nucleotide long non-coding RNA. RefSeq lists it as uncharacterized. The record is from RefSeq and is a predicted model, not a curated record. The transcript has 3 exons. Lineage: Eukaryota; Metazoa; Chordata; Crocodylia; Alligatoridae.